GGCCCGGUAGCUCAGUUGGUAGAGCAAAGGACUGAAAAUCCUUGUGUCACUGGUUCGAGUCCGGUUCGGGCCA
Molecule: transfer RNA, 73 nt
Filed under: Neorickettsia risticii (Potomac horse fever agent)
Lineage: Bacteria; Pseudomonadati; Pseudomonadota; Alphaproteobacteria; Rickettsiales; Anaplasmataceae
Also listed under: 4 other names
Description: tRNA-Phe
Rfam family: tRNA
About the family: Transfer RNA (tRNA) molecules are approximately 80 nucleotides in length. Their secondary structure includes four short double-helical elements and three loops (D, anti-codon, and T loops).
Source: RNAcentral